Molecule: ribosomal RNA, 231 nt
Filed under: uncultured bacterium
Lineage: Bacteria
Description: partial 16S ribosomal RNA
Rfam family: Bacterial small subunit ribosomal RNA
Source: RNAcentral
UGAGGAACAUGACCUUCGGCGGGGGAUAGCCGGCCCAACGGCCGGGUAAUACCGCGUACGACCACAUGGGGACAUCCCCGAGUGGUGAAAGCAGCAAUGCGCCGAAAGAGUGCCUCGCGGCCUAUCAGCUAGUUGGUGUGGGUAAUGGCCCACCAAGGCGACGAUGCGUAGCCGACCUGAGAGGGUGAUCGGCCACAUUGGAGCUGAGACACGGUCCAGACUCCUAGGAGG